GAUGAACGCUGGCGGCGUGGCUAAGGCAUGCAAGUCGAGCGCAACCAUUGGUGUAGCAAUACAUUAGUGCGUUGAGCGGCAAACGGGAGCGUAACACAUUGGCAAUCUACCUUCUUCUCGUGAAUAACCAAGGGAAACUUUGGCUAAUACACGAUACGGAUGGGGGGACGCAAGUCAUUCCCAUUGAAAGAUUUAUCGGAAGCAGAGGAGCCUAUGUUCCAUCAGCUAGUUGGCGGGGUAAAGGCCUACCAAGGCGCAGAGCCGUAUCUGGGCUGAGAGGCUGAUCAGCCACACUGGAACGGAGACACGGUCCAGACUCCUACGGGAGGCAGCAGUUGGGAAUAUUGGACAAUGGGCGCAAGCCUGAUCCAGCCAUACCGCGUGGGUGAAGAAGGCCUUCGGGUUGUAAAGCCCUUUUGUUGGGAAAGAAAUCCAGCUGGUUAAUACCCGGUUGGGAUGACGGUACCCAAAGAAUAAGCACCGGCUAACUUCGUGCCAGCCGCCGCUGUAA
This 511-nucleotide ribosomal RNA is filed under the name uncultured bacterium. RNAcentral's name for it is "partial 16S ribosomal RNA". It matches the Rfam family "Bacterial small subunit ribosomal RNA", at positions 28 to 523 of the family's 1533-position model. The record is from RNAcentral.